Molecule: long non-coding RNA, 1155 nt
Organism: Callithrix jacchus (white-tufted-ear marmoset)
Lineage: Eukaryota; Metazoa; Chordata; Mammalia; Primates; Cebidae
Source: RefSeq, a predicted model, not a curated record
UCCAGUCUAAGAGCUCGGAGUGGUGUGGUCUCCAAGUAUAUCCCGCCUUUUACUGCAGGGGAUUUCGGAAUAAUACACCCAUGAAAACAAAAAUCUGAGUUCCGUGAAUAGAGGAUGGCUGCGGUUUGCGUGUAGACUCUCAUCUUCCCGUCGCCUUCCAUCCCAACGCUUCCACCUCUACGCUCUUCUCUUUUCUUCUCUGGGUCCCUUCCCUCAUGUUCUGGGCUGGUUCCAUCAAAAGUCUGAUGGGUUAUGAAUCAACAUUUCUGCCCCUGGGAGGAAGUGGGCUCCGGGUUUGCCGUAAGUGAUCGGAUUGUCUUUGGUGCUUUAAUUUGAAGAUUCGUUUCUCCUUAUUGGUGAGCCAGCGCCUGUUCUCCUCUUCCACUCAGUUUUCCUUUGGGUCUCUUUUGGGCUUUCCCCAUUUGCAGCUUCUGUCUGCCUCGGGAGCGUGGCUGGUCCUGGAAGCUCUGUUAUCUAAAAUUUGAGCCCUGUCCUUGCUAGAAACACUUGAGGAAGGACGGCUGAGUUAUCCGUUGACUCUAAUGGCAUUGUGGUGUGUUCAUUGUCUUUCUUCUCUUGUGACUGUGAGCUGGCUGUAACAGGCCCUGUUGGAUUGCACAAAAUGCUCCCCCCAACAACACACACACACACACACGCAAAUUGACAUCAACUCCUGGGCCACCGAUUUGCCGCGUGACCUUGGACAAGUCUCUCCAUCUCUGGGUCUUCUUUCUUUCUUGGUUGAGUGAAGGGAUUGUCUUCCAUGGUCUCUGAGAUCUCAUCCUACUGUCAUGCCCUGGAAGUCUCUGAAUUCGAGAUCCUCCUUUGCUUUUGGAGAGGAGACAGGACAGUCGGGCAUGGAGGUUAUGUCUCCAGUCUUCUGAUUGUAAAAGAGGGCAGAUUCCAUGAAGCCCAGUCUGUAAAACACAGAGGGCUUUGCUGCGAGUACAUGAACAUCAAGUUCUAGAGCACAGAAGCUGGAAGGCCACCUGAAGAUUCUGGCUCCAGGCGUGGGGGCUUCAGAAGACAGGGGGCUGCUGCGUGAGCUCCACACUCCUGUUUUAACUUCCUUUACGCAAAGCUUUUUUGUUUUAUUUACGUUGGCAUUGUGUUUUGGAACAAAGGAUUUCAAGGCCAUAAAAUGUUUAAAACUCA